CAACUAAGCAAAACUUUGUUCAUGAACUGAGAGGGGGUGGGGGUUGGAGGGGAAGUGUAAAAGAAGGCUUGAUGCAAGUUUGGAGAAACAAAGUAAAAACAAAUCAACAAAGUAAAAACAAAUCCAGUUUCAAGAGUGAAUCUGAGGUUAGUUUUUGUCAUCAAGUUAAUGUGUGGACAGAACAGGAAAGAAAAGAGUUAAUGACAUUUCUAAGGAGGCAUAGAGCCUCAUUACACAUUUCAAGUGGCUUAGAGUUAACAGCUGUGUUUGGAAUCCUUGUUAAGUAGAUUUUACUUCAGAUGAACCUUGCAUAGUACUUUUAAAACUGAUGGUGUUUAGGCAGCAGUAAGGGAGUCCUACCUGUUGCUACCUGAACUCUGCCAGGUAAUGUACAGAAGUACAGCAUUCAUGAAAUGUGAAGUUAAUUUUGAUGUAGCAAGUCUGUGCAAGGUUUCAGUAUACAGUGUUUAAUAUCAGAAGGACACUUUUACCAUUAGAGUAGCUCAGGGGCCUACACUGUUUAUUUCUAUCAUAUAUCGCUGACUUCUGCUGAGCUACUGCAAUAAUAUAAGCUAAUUAAUGCUUUUGUUACUGACAUUAACAGUAUUAAAGCAAUCCUGGUAACAAAACAAUACCACCACCAACAGGCAAUGCUAGUAAAAGCAAUGUGGCAGUGCACAUGAAAAGCUGCCUCUUGUUAUAGCAGAAUACAAAAGCAGCAGAUAGAGAAUUGAUUGAAGGCACAAUUCUAUUUCCAGCAAUUGUUCUUAGCUGAAGAGCCAAAGGGUUUUCUGCUUCUUUAAUGGAAGAUUAACGGAGGAACCAAAGACUUAUCCAGAUAUAACAAAUGCCAAGGUUUAACUGGUCUGUGCAGUUGCAUUUAAACCCUAAUGGUUUCCACAAAAUAAGGCAGUGAAAUGCUGGUGGCAACAUUGUGAGGAAAGAGGUUUUGGUCCCUUACCAGCAUUACCAUCAAUAUGAAUCAUAGGCCAUAGUCAUCACUACACAGAUGUCAGCAUUAGAAUCAAAUGAGGUAUUUUCUCACUUUGUUCCAAUCUACUAGAAUAAAUGGAAGGUCAAUGUCUUAUUUUAAGUUGCUAAUUUUAGUCCUUCAUUCUGUUAAUUUGAAUCAAUUUUGUAGCAUAAGUUCACUUAUUUAAGCUCUUCACCACUUGAACCAUGAUUUAGGAAUGCCUAUGAAAACAUUAGCUAGUUAAUGUGGUUAAAAUAUGGUAUACAUUUGCAAGUAAUGUACUUUGUGACCACGUUCCCAGUUAGCUGCACAAAAAACCCACAUCAGAUUGCAGCAAGGUAUUUCUUAGAUAUAUUCAGCCUUUUUUGAAACCAGUUUUUCUUUUCUGAAAUAUUUUUUGUUUGUAAAGAUGACCAUGUUAGAAAGGCAGUGAUGUGCUGUACCAUGGUGUACUUUUGAUUCAGAAUCACCUAUAAUUUUUUUGUGUUAGAGACUCUUUUCCUGGUUGGAUUACAGACUGAAAGGCUGACCCUCAUUAUUUAAAGAGGCAUUAAAAUUUAAUGCAAAAAAUAAGUUUAUAUUCCAAGAUCUUCCACAUAAACCAUCAAAGAACUAGGAAGCAGCAUUAUUCUCCUAUGUGUCCUCCUACAGAGGACUCUUCUGCCCCAUCUUAUCUUUUAACUGAAGCACACUGGAAGGAACAUUGCAGUACUAGAACAUGUAGCUAUAAAGAGGUGCAAAUAUCCAGGACCUGGUACUUACCGAGUUUCCUUUUAUUGUAAUUUUCUUGGGAAAGAGAGAAACUUGUUCUAUCUGGCAAUUUAAGUAAAUAAGACUACUGUCUUCCUUUUAGUAUUAUAAUGGUCGAUAAUUCGGGACAAAGUUGUUAAAGCAGGUCAGGGACUCAGAGUAGAAUUUGGAUUCCUGCAGGGUAACACCUGACUGCCUACCCCUGAAGUGCUACAAUCGCAGUACAGAGAUGUGGCAGGGUCUUGUUAAAGCUUUGUACUACGUUCCCUUAUUGACACUGUAUCUCAUGUUCCAUAUUUCAGGCUCUUAUUCUAGUACUUCACAUGUUUCUUUCUCAUAUAACAUUGUUAGCAGAAUAUCCUAAGUGAAGAAAGGCAGUGGUUUUGGUCAGUGUCUUAUUCCUCAAACUCUGUAUUUCUGCAGAAUAAAACUAGGAAAUGAGUAAAUAUAUUGUUUGGACACAGAAUGCAUGGCGAGGUUUGUGCUGGAAUACUGCACUUGUGGAGAUGUGAGAUUAGAAAAGAAUUGAUAGGAUAAAAGACAAAGAGUUUUGUUACAGAGUUGUACUGGGAAACUAGCAUAGCAUCUGUCUUCUGUACCUUGUUCUAAGACUUAUAAAGUCCAUUUCUUCAACUAAAAUAAGCUCAGGUAACAGAACAUAAUUCAGCAUCUAUCCUCUUCAAGCAAACUGGAAUAUGAUACUUUCCGUAGAGUUAGAGGACAAGUUACAUCAUCUGGAUUUUUCACAUAUGCUGUUGAUUUAAAAGGACUGACUAGUUAGUUGUUGAUGGGUAGUGCUUGAAUUCAAGUACGCUAGACAGCUUUUAAAAAGGGGGGAGGGGGAAGAGAAGCAGACACAUUUUUUUCCCAUUGAAACUGGCAGGAUGAGCAGACACACAGCAGUCUUUAACUCACAUUCAACCAAGUUCUAUUAUAUUCAUACUUCCUACCAUGCAGUUCUGCAAGUUGGGCUGAAAAAAAAAAUUUGGUCAUCUCACAUUUACCUGUAGUACACAGGGGGAGGGAUUGAGAUAUUGAAGUAACGUCAGCCUCAUUAAAAAAGAGCAUUAGUACAGUUCUCCUGGAGGGGAAAUGACUGGAAGAUGAAUACAGUGAUCUUCUUUCAGAAACCCCCAGUUAUUUAAACAAGCAUCUUACAAAAAUCUAGGCACAGUUGUCCAAGGAAUAAAAAACAAAACAAAGGAUUGCCAAGGACCGCUAG
Molecule: long non-coding RNA, 2945 nt
Organism: Corapipo altera (White-ruffed manakin)
Lineage: Eukaryota; Metazoa; Chordata; Aves; Passeriformes; Pipridae
Exons: 2
Source: RefSeq, a predicted model, not a curated record